Molecule: long non-coding RNA, 558 nt
Organism: Pygocentrus nattereri (red-bellied piranha)
Lineage: Eukaryota; Metazoa; Chordata; Actinopteri; Characiformes; Serrasalmidae
Exons: 2
Source: RefSeq, a predicted model, not a curated record
ACAUGUGGCUGCAGCUGUUAACAGUGUAAGCUCUACAAGCCGCACUGUUGCAGAAGUAAAAAAGAAAUGGUCGGACUUGAAAGUAGAUGCAAAGAAACGGAUUUCUUUGCACAGGAAGAGUGCAAGUGCUACUGGUGGGGGAAAGGCCACACUUUCUCCGUCUCCUUUUCAUGAGAGGAUGGCAUGUUUAAUUGGGGAACCCCUGUUAAGUGGCGUGGUGACUGAAAAGGAGGGCGAUACAGACUUGGCUGAUGAACCCAUCACUGGUGAACCAGAGAGGACUGUGGGAGUGGACAGCAGUCAUUCAGCUGAAGACUGCCAACCCGGCCCCAACGGUGUCUCCGGUGCCCCGGUUGCCUCCAGCGGUGUCUCCGGUGCCCCGGAUGCCUCCAGCGGUGCACCACGUGCUUUAAGCGGAGGUCGUGUUCUGACUGAGGCUGUUUUACAAACACAAAUAAACACAAUUACAGCAAUUGACAAUUUAACAAAUGAGCUUAAAGAGAUUAAGGGGAUACUGUCUGAAAUGUCAAGUACAUUAAAAGAACUUGUUAAAAAAUA